Molecule: ribosomal RNA, 513 nt
Filed under: uncultured bacterium
Lineage: Bacteria
Description: partial 16S ribosomal RNA
Rfam family: Bacterial small subunit ribosomal RNA
Source: RNAcentral
GACGAACGCUGGCGGCAUGCCUAAUACAUGCAAGUCGAGCGAACAGAUGAAGUGCUUGCACUUCUGACGUUAGCGGCGAACGGGUGAGUAACACGUAAGGAAUCUACCUAUAAGCGGGGGAUAACAUUCGGAAACGGGUGCUAAUACCGCAUAAUAUCUUCUUCCGCAUGGAAGAAGAUUGAAAGACGGCUCUGCUGUCACUUAUAGAUGACCUUGCGGUGCAUUAGUUAGUUGGUGGGGUAACGGCCUACCAAGACGAUGAUGCAUAGCCGACCUGAGAGGGUGAUCGGCCACAUUGGGACUGAGACACGGCCCAAACUCCUACGGGAGGCAGCAGUAGGGAAUCUUCCGCAAUGGGCGAAAGCCUGACGGAGCAAUGCCGCGUGAGUGAAGAAGGCCUUCGGGUCGUAAAACUCUGUUAUAAGAGAAGAACAAAUUGUAGAGUAACUGCUACAGUCUUGACGGUAUCUUAUCAGAAAGCCACGGCUAACUACGUGCCAGCAGCCGCAGUAA